Molecule: non-coding RNA, 77 nt
Organism: Bombyx mori (domestic silkworm)
Lineage: Eukaryota; Metazoa; Arthropoda; Insecta; Lepidoptera; Bombycidae
Source: RefSeq, marked provisional
GGACGUGCUUCGUAGAAUCUACCAUCGGAUCGGAAACGCGAUCCGGUGGUAGAUUCUGCGAAGUACGGCUCUUGCUA